GAAGAGGGAGAAGCAGGAUUCCCGCUGAGCAGGAUGCCUGUCUUGAUCCUAGGACACUGGGAUCAUGAUCUGAGCCAAAGGCAGGCGCUUAAUUAACCAACUGAGAUACGAAGGCACCCCUCUUUCUAGACUUUCUGUGUUCUUCAACCUUACGUCUGAAUACUGCCUCAGGGCCUUUGCUCCCGGGUGUUCCCUCCAUUUGAGAUUAUGCUCCUGGACAAUCCAUGAAAACAGGAAUACAUGCCAGCUAAAUAGGGGACCUGAUCAUGAGCAACUGUAAAGAGAUGGGCUUUUCCUCUGAAUGAAAUGGGAAACACUGCAGGGUUUUGUCAGAGUGGUAUGAUCCGAUUUAAAUUUUUACAGGAUGCUUCUGGCUGCCAUGUUGAAAAGAGACUAAGCGGGUCCCAGCUUGGUCAUUGACUACUCUGAGAAGCUUGUCCUGACUGAGUGAGUGGGUCAGGUGUGAAUGAAAACGUUGUGCUGCUGGCUGGUGUGGAGCUUUGUGGAGAUGGUUAGCUGGGGAAAAGGCGCCUUACCGCUGGAUGUAAGAGUUAUUCACACCCCGGUGGUCCAAGUCGUGGCUGAGAGCCGCGAUGAGCAGCGCAAGGAUCUCCAGGUCAGUCAGCUUGCUCUGCUCCACCGGAGAUGUCCGCGGAAAGAAAGAGAAAGACCACUUGCUGCCUGCGGAUUCUGCUGCGCUCGCUCUGCUGGUGACUGCUGGAUCCUCAAGGAACAGAGACAAUGUGAAUAUUAAGCAAAACAAUACAUAAAAAAGAGGACUAGAAAUGAAAAAUCUGGCCUUAAAAGGUUGCACAAUAUGUUGCAAAGCCAAAUAGAGGUUAUUUUGGUAAUAUCUGUCAUUUGUAUUAUUUAUCCUGCUGGUCUCCUUCAUCAGUAAAAAAACAAAGUCGAAUUCAUUAUCAGCUCCACUUUGCUGGAAACUCUCAACACUCUAUAUAGUAUGUUUAUAAGAUUAGACAAAAUCAUCAUUUUGUUAUUCUUCAUAAAAAGCACGGACAGUCUUCAGCUGUAUAAUCCUGAUGACCUUUCCACAGUCCAAAAUAAGUAGAUCCUAUUUUUUUAAAUAAAUGUUUGCUAUGGCAGGGAAAUACUAUUAUGGUAUUUCAUAUGGCCUCUUAGACAACAACUCCUUCUUUUAGCUCUAGCCAGUUAAAAUGUGCUCCCUAUGGAAAGAGAGACAAAGAAUAACAUUUUUAGAAAUUACUUAAAAAAAAAAAAAAAAAGCAUGGAAGCUCUGAAUGAAAAUCAGUUAUUUGAUGGAUGCCUGGAAUCACUUACCUAGAAGAACUAUUCAAGUCCCAAUGAAGUUAGAACCUAAGACAGAGCUAUGGAUAAAAUAUGGCCUGGAAAGGAACGAAUUACUUGAACGCUUUCUGUGUUGAUCUUCCUUGUACACAGUCUCUGGUCAAUGUAGAUGAUAUUAAAACCCUUUCCGUGAGAUGCGACUUAACAAAAUUUAACUGAGUGCUCCAGAGAAAAUGUGAUAGAGAACACUGGAAUUUGCUAUGAAGCCACUUGAGUGGUUCUGCAGGAAUUCUACUAUGGAGCAGGUUGAAUGGGAACACGAGAAAUUUGAUACUUUUUCUUAUAGAAGAAAAUUCUUCUGGAGAAAAUAUUUUCCCAAAGACUAUUAAAUUUAACAUGAAGUUAUUUUAAAGAUUUUUAAAAAUAGGCCUUUAUGUACUGCAUAUAGAAGAAAAUUAAUAACUAAGUAUUUUGCCAUGCUAGUCUUCUUCAACUGACAAGAUGUCAUUUAUUUUGUAAGUGGCAACAAAUAUUAUUCCAGUCAUCGUUACUGAUUGCACACUAAAAAAAGAAAGAAUCUGCUGUAGAUUUUACUACCAAAGCAAGAAGUCUUAAAUAUAAGAACGGCUCUAAAAAGUACCUGAAUC
Mustela lutreola (European mink) is the source of this 1913-nucleotide long non-coding RNA. RefSeq lists it as uncharacterized. The transcript is spliced from 5 exons. The record is from RefSeq and is a predicted model, not a curated record. Lineage: Eukaryota; Metazoa; Chordata; Mammalia; Carnivora; Mustelidae.